GAUGAAGAACGCAGCGAAAUGCGAUAACUAAUGUGAAUUGCAGAAUUCCGUGAAUCAUCGAGUCUUUGAACGCACAUUGCGCCCCCUGGUAUUCCGGGGGGCAUGCCUGUCCGAGCGUCAUUGCUGCCCAUCAAGCACGGCUUGCGUGUUGGGUCCCGUCCCCCUCUCCCGGGGGACGGACCCGAAAGGCAGCGGCGGCACCGCGUCCGGUCCUCGAGCGUAUGGGGCUUUGUCACCCGCUCUUGUAGGCCCGGCCGGCGCUUGCCGACACCCAACCAUUUUUUUCAGGUUGACCUCGGAUCAGGUAGGGAUACCCGCUGAACUUAAGCAUAUCAAUAGCGGAGGA
RNAcentral lists this unclassified non-coding RNA (346 nucleotides) under soil metagenome. RNAcentral describes it as "partial contains 5.8S ribosomal RNA, internal transcribed spacer 2, and large subunit ribosomal RNA". The stretch from base 1 to 120 matches the Rfam family "5.8S ribosomal RNA", at positions 35 to 154 of the family's 154-position model. The record is from RNAcentral.